Molecule: non-coding RNA, 239 nt
Organism: Tupaia belangeri (northern tree shrew)
Lineage: Eukaryota; Metazoa; Chordata; Mammalia; Scandentia; Tupaiidae
Source: Rfam
UUGUGCUCUUCCUGAUGAUUGAGUGUUCACCUGGAUUUUCUGACCACCUUCCCUUGUGCUAUUCUGUCAGCCUACAGAUUCUGGUACCUGGAUUUUUACCCUUGGUGAUUUCUACCACCUUACUACUGAAGAAGACACCAUUCCAGUGGACCACUGUGACCUAAGAAGCAUUCAGCCAUCAUGAUGUGGCCUUUACCUCCACUCCUGUCCUUUCUACCCAGAUUCAGCACAGUCUUUUA